AACCCAUGGUGAAGGCACCUUCUUAGUAAGUCCUUGUAUCUCUCCCAUGCACUGUAAAGUGUUUCUAAAUCCAUUUGCAUAAAAGAAGAGAUAUCAUUACGCAAUUU
Gossypium hirsutum (cotton) is the source of this 107-nucleotide non-coding RNA. Lineage: Eukaryota; Viridiplantae; Streptophyta; Magnoliopsida; Malvales; Malvaceae. The record is from Rfam.